CUAUUACAUUUUUUUUUAUAGGGAUGUAACCAUGCCCAAUGACCACUGUCAGAUGGUGGAAGAAGAAAAUGAAAAGGAAUAGGAAAAAUCCUAUUCAUGGAAAUUUGGCAACCCGUCAACUUGAAUCAAGCAAUGGCUAUAGCUCAGAAACUAGAAAAAAAGAAAAGGAGCUGAUUUAGCAACCUUAUCUCGUCACCAGCAUGCUCUUCAAGGCCAAAUGAUGGUAGACCCCUCCAAGGAAAGCUCAAACUCUGGCUCUUAUAGAGGGUUGCUCACUGGCAGUUGAUCAAAGAUUAGGUAUGGGGC
Molecule: long non-coding RNA, 306 nt
Filed under: Elaeis guineensis (African oil palm)
Lineage: Eukaryota; Viridiplantae; Streptophyta; Magnoliopsida; Arecales; Arecaceae
Description: long non-coding RNA (EGUI_LNC010730)
Source: RNAcentral